RNAcentral lists this unclassified non-coding RNA (4048 nucleotides) under Harpegnathos saltator (Jerdon's jumping ant). RNAcentral's name for it is "tyrosine-protein kinase transmembrane receptor Ror2, transcript variant X1". The record is from RNAcentral. Lineage: Eukaryota; Metazoa; Arthropoda; Insecta; Hymenoptera; Formicidae.
CGGUGCUUUUAUGUUAAACGGAUCGAGUUUACCGCCAUGAUCUGAUCAGCUAUCGGUGCCGCCGGAAUAUCAGUAUUUAAGAUUGCAUACAACCCUCAUGUACACGAUUUUUCACUCGGUAUGGAAUGGCAUAAUAUAUCGUUCUAUGAAAAAUACGGCUGUCGUAAUCCAGUCGUUCGGUCAGCAUGGCUCAAUGUAACCACGCAUAUUUAAGAAGGAGGAUGUCGCGAAUCCUAUAAACGCCGAUUUCUCGUUAAACAUGUGAACUCUUUUUCUGCGACGCACACCCACAACGUACACGUAUAUAUUUACAUAGAUUUACAUAUAUAUAAGCAUAUAUGUAUAUAUAUGUAAAUUUAGAUGACUGUAAAUAAUGGUGUUUUGGGCUAUCGUUUAUUUGAUAGCGAUAUUUCUGCGUUUCAGUUCCAUACAAGCAAAAUCAGAGUCUCAUGGUUACUGUGCUCCAUAUAGUGGAGAGAUCUGUAAAAAAUAUCUUGCUGGUAUUGGGAAAGUAUGGUUCAAUGAUUCCAAGGACAAUCCUGGUGGAUUGUUAAAUGAACAGAUUACUACAGAUCUUUGGGAUGAACUGAUACUAAGACUUGUGGAGCCAUGUCGUUCAGCAGCAGAGAAAAUGCUAUGCAUGUAUGCAUUUCCUCUGUGUCACGAGUCAGUAGGUUUACCUUUGUGUUACGAAGAUUGCAUGGCCAUACGUCUUCAGUUUUGCUUCACCGACUGGGCUAUUAUCGAGGACAACAAGCAACGAGACAUUUACAUUCGCUCACGUGGACAUUUUGUGCUACCUGAAUGUGAGAGUUUGCCCAAAGUAAAUAAAACGGUGCCUGCGUGCUCGCACGUGCACCUGACUGACAUGGAUGAGGAGGAUGUAACUUAUGAUUGUAUCAGAGGUAACGGUAGAUUUUACAUGGGGAAGAUAAAUAAAACCAAAUUCGGACUGAACUGUCAAUCAUGGAGCGCACAAAUACCACACAGCCACGAUAAGCCUCCUGAUGUCUUCCCGCAGAUUCGUUACGGCGAGAAUUACUGUAGAAACGCGGGCGGUGACGAACCAAUGCCAUGGUGCUUCACGACUGAUACUUCAAUACGCUGGCAACAUUGCGAUAUUCCUGUAUGUGAUAAUGUUACAAGUAAAGUAUUAGAAGGUGAACCGAACGAUCCAGAGAUGGAAAUGUUGGUCACACCAGCGAUGAUAUUCAUGCUGUCGUUCGUGGGCUUCGCAAUUGUAGUUGGCAUAUUUCUCUUUGUCCUGUUCAUUAUGCUAAGCCAAAAAUUGCACAAACGCCAACGGGGCUACAACCCGACUGAUAAUCAAGAUGUGAACAUUGACCUGGACAAAUUGCCAAAUAACGAAGCCUAUCACAAGACGAGCGCGCAGCUGAAUCCGAAACUGGAGAAGCUCGAGUUCCCGCGGAACAAUAUCAUUUACGUUCGUGACUUGGGGCAAGGUGCGUUUGGCCGCGUGUUCCAAGCGAAAGCGCCAGGACUGGUGCUGGGCGAGGAGUUCACUAAUGUCGCUGUGAAGAUGCUGAAGGAGGAGGCGUCGGAUGACUUACUAGUGGACUUUGAGCGGGAGGCGUGUCUGCUUGCCGAAUUUGACCACCCGAAUAUCGUAAAGCUGCUCGGCGUGUGUGCAUUGGGGCGACCCAUGUGCUUGUUGUUCGAGUACAUGGGCCGCGGCGAUCUGAACGAGUUUCUACGCUCUUGCUCGCCGAGUAGCUACGUCAUCCGUAGCACGCAAGACCGUGAGGACGGCAGCGCGAUGGAUUCGCGGCUCUCGCACAUGGACCUGAUCAACAUCGCGUUGCAGGUGGCAUCCGGCAUGGUAUAUCUGUCCGACCGGAAAUUUGUACACCGCGAUCUCGCCACGCGGAACUGUCUGAUAAACGAUCAAAUGAUCGUGAAGAUCGCGGAUUUCGGGCUGUCGCAGAAGAUUUAUCUGCAGGAUUAUUAUAAAGGUGACGAACAGGACGCCAUACCUGUGAGGUGGAUGCCGCUCGAAAGCAUACUUUACAACAAGUAUACUGUCGAAUCUGACGUGUGGGCGUUCGCAGUGUGUCUCUGGGAGAUCUUCAGCUUCGCGCUGCAACCGUAUUAUGGGAUGACGCACGAAGAAGUGGUCAAGUACAUUAAGGAGGGCGAUGUAUUACGCUGCCCUGACAAUACGCCUCAGUCUAUAUACUAUCUGAUGAAGCUCUGCUGGAACCGGCGACCGUCUGACCGUCCUACCUUCCGUACGAUCUACCAGACUCUCGAUGGCAUCAAGCAUGAACUGGAGGCGGAGAACAAGUCGGACAGCGUCCCGCUACGCAUUCGCGUGUGAAGGAUCAAGCUGAUGAUGAGGAUGACGAUGAUGGUAUCGGCCUCUCUUUCUCUCUCUCUCUCUCUCUCUCUCUUUCUCUCUCUCUUUCUCUAUCUCUCUCGAUAAUGGCGCCUCAUCGAUUAAGAUCGUCGAUUAAAAGUAAGCGACAUCACUUGUGUGUGCGUGUGUGCGUGUAACUACACUUCAUGUUUAUACAUUUUCAGGUAAGUAACUUCGUGUUGUACUAUAAAUGUGACAUGGAAUGCCUUCUUAGUUGGAUUCGCUCGGACGUGUCGCGUCGUGCGGAAUGAGAAAUGGACCAAUUACACUUGUGGAAGACUUGCGAGACGGAAGACGCGAUAUUUUCACGAUGCGUUCAUAUUUCUUCGAGAGCAUUUUAUCGCUGCUUCUGAGACGGUCGUCUGUCUGUAUCGGGACAUAUGAUACUACUCUUUCAUUCUCAGAAAUCACACUCAUCGUCUUCUUUUUUCUUUCUUUCUUUUUUUUCUUGAUAUCGUGUUAUCAAGUCUAAAUCGUUUUUCACUCGCUCGUUUCCACUUGACGUUCGAUUACGCUUCCAGUUAUGCAUCCGGAGUUAUUAAGCAACGCUUUUCCAAUGUGUGAGAUAUUACCGAGUCUGUACAAAUAUGUAAAAGUGAUGUGGCUAUAAAAGUGCAUUUACAGUUAGCGACGUUACGCAGAAUGAUCUUCGUGAAGUUUCAUCUGUGUUUCAGAUCGAGAUAAUUCCUAGGAUUGUUGUGACUGAGAAAGUUCGCGUGAACACGGGUCCGACUUUUGAAUACUUUGAAGCGACUUCUUUACUUAGAACGAUCCAUCCAGAGGAAUUGUCCUCCGAAACGCCGAUGAAACCUAGCGGAUCGUUCGAUAUUUAGAGGCUCCUUCAUUGUUAGACAUUAGGUUGUUAGAUCGUUCGCUGUACCAAAAAAAAACAAUACCAUUCUGGAUGCCAUUGAAAUUUCACUCAGGAUAGGAAAACGUUCGACUACAGGUCAAAUCAGAACGAUUAAUGUAGCAAAACUUUUAUUGGAAAAGAACUAUGAAAAGUAUAAUAAUUUCGAUAUUUGAAUCUUCCCCUAGUCUACGGUCCGCAUUCAUUGAAUCUUCUGUCGAUUCUUUUCAGAAAGAAUUACUGCGAAUGAUGCAAGGAUAUGGUGAUCACGUUAGAUCCUUUGAACAAGUAGCUGCUUAUCUCUGCUGACACACACAUACACAAAAGGUGUAAAUCCAAUUGUGCAACCUCCACUUUGCGGUACACUUUGGCUAAUAACGGCGGUAUUGUAACUUUCAAGCCCCAUAACUCGGAAAAUACUCAAUAACACAUAACUUAUUUAUAGUGUUUUGGAAAGCUCUCGAGAUGAGCUACAAGAAUAUGUAAUGAAAAAUAGGGGAUUCUAUUUAAAAAAACAAAGUUGAACUUCGUAUAACCUUGGAACGUUCACUCAAGAUCAAUCCAAUGACACCAUCUCAUGUCCCCCCUCGAACCAAAUAACUUUUGUCUGAAACAUUUCUUUCUAAAAUGCAUAGUUUAUGAAAUAUUCGACCGUUUCCAGAUUUUUGGUACAUCCUGUAUAUGUAUAUAUACAUAGGGUAUUUUAAAAGAGUGGGUGGACUAUAUGUAGUUAUAUUUUUGUCAUCAAGAUAAACAAAACAAUUCCUGUAAACAUAACGCUUAAUUAAGAAGUUAAUGCCGAAUCAAAAUUAUAAAAGAAU